This 447-nucleotide ribosomal RNA is filed under the name uncultured bacterium. RNAcentral's name for it is "partial 16S ribosomal RNA". It matches the Rfam family "Bacterial small subunit ribosomal RNA", at positions 329 to 793 of the family's 1533-position model. The record is from RNAcentral.
CGCCAGACUCCUACGGGAGGCAGCAGUGGGGAAUAUUGCACAAUGGGGGAAACCCUGAUGCAGCGACGCCGCGUGAGUGAAGAAGUAUUUCGGUAUGUAAAGCUCUCUCAGCAGGAAAGAAAAUGACGGUACCUGACUAAGAAGCCCCGGCUAACUACGUGCCAGCAGCCGCGGUAAUACGUAGGGGGCAAGCGUUAUCCGGAUUUACUGGGUGUAAAGGGAGCGUAGGCGGUUAGAUAAGUCUGAUGUGAAAGCCCACAGCUUAACUGUGGGAUUGCAUUGGAAACUAUAGAACUAGAGUGUCGGAGAGGUAAGUGGAAUUCCUAGUGUAGCGGUGAAAUGCGUAGAUAUACGGAGGAACACCAGUGGCGAAGGCGGAUUGCUGGACAGUAACUGACGCUGAGGCGCGAAAGCGUGGGGAGCAAACAGGAUUAGAUACCCUGGUAC